AUUGAACGCUGGCGGCAGGCCUAACACAUGCAAGUCGAACGGUAACAGGAAGAAGCUUGCUUCUUUGCUGACGAGUGGCGGACGGGUGAGUAAUGUCUGUGAAACUGCCUGAUGGCGGGGGAUAACUACUGGAAACGGUAGCUAAUACCGCAUAACGUCGCAAGACCAAAGAGGGGGACCUUCGGGCCUCUUGCCAUCGGCUUUUCCCAGAUUGGAUUAGCUAGUAGGUGGGGUAACGGCUCACCUAGGCGACGAUCCCUAGCUGGUCUGAGAGGAUGACCAGCCACACUGGAACUGAGACACGGUCCAGACUCCUACGGGAGGCAGCAGUGGGGAAUAUUGCACAAUGGGCGCAAGCCUGAUGCAGCCAUGCCGCGUGUAUGAAGAAGGCCUUCGGGUUGUAAAGUACUUUCAGCGGGGAGGAAGGGAGUAAAGUUAAUACCUUUGCUCAUUGACGUUACCCGCAGAAGAAGCACCGGCUAACUCCGUG
RNAcentral lists this ribosomal RNA (490 nucleotides) under uncultured bacterium. RNAcentral describes it as "partial 16S ribosomal RNA". It matches the Rfam family "Bacterial small subunit ribosomal RNA", at positions 30 to 507 of the family's 1533-position model. The record is from RNAcentral.